GUAGGUGAACCUGCGGAAGGAUCAUUAUCGAGACAAGGGGCUCCCGGCCCCGAACCUCCCACCCGUGUUUACCAACCUUUUGUUGCUUUGGUGGGCCUGCGUCCGGGUUGAAAGCCCGGCCGCUGCUGCGUGCCCGCCAGAAGCCUCCCUGAACUCAUUUACCGGUUAGAGUCUGAGUGACCGAACAAUAAUCAAAACUUUCAACAACGGAUCUCUUGGUUCUG
This 224-nucleotide unclassified non-coding RNA is filed under the name rhizosphere metagenome. Its description in RNAcentral is "partial ribosomal RNA internal transcribed spacer region". The record is from RNAcentral.